Molecule: ribosomal RNA, 459 nt
Filed under: uncultured bacterium
Lineage: Bacteria
Description: bacterial SSU rRNA
Rfam family: Bacterial small subunit ribosomal RNA
Source: RNAcentral
CAUGGCUCAGAACGAACGCUGGCGGCAGGCCUAACACAUGCAAGUCGAGCGACGCCCUUCGGGGUGAGACGGCGGACGGGUUAGUAACGCGUGGGAACGUACCCUUUGGUAGGGAAUAGCCACUGGAAACGGUGAGUAAUACCCUAUGAGCCCUUCGGGGGGAAAAGAUUUAUCGCCAAAGGAUCGGCCCGCGUUAGAUUAGGUAGUUGGUGGGGUAAUGGCCUACCAAGCCUACGAUCUAUAGCUGGUUUUAGAGGAUGAUCAGCAACACUGGGACUGAGACACGGCCCAGACUCCUACGGGAGGCAGCAGUGGGGAAUCUUGGACAAUGGGGGCAACCCUGAUCCAAGCCAUGCCGCGUGAGUGAAGAAGGCCUUAGGGUCGUAAAGCUCUUUCGCCUGUGAAGAUAAUGACGGUAGCAGGUAAAGAAACCCCGGCUAACUCCGUGCCAGCAGCUGC